Molecule: ribosomal RNA, 321 nt
Filed under: Triticum aestivum (bread wheat)
Lineage: Eukaryota; Viridiplantae; Streptophyta; Magnoliopsida; Poales; Poaceae
Description: partial small subunit ribosomal RNA
Source: RNAcentral
AUGCCACAAGCUUUUAGAACCAUAGUGAGUUACGUGGAAUCUUAUCUGGGCUGCUGGUGUCUCCUGGGAUUCAGACUUAGCAUGACUCGGAAAAGCAUAUCGGCAGCUGGUCAUCUAUUGUUUGGACUAAAGAAUCAUCAAGUCCUCCUGAUACAUGUUUGGAUGUUAGAUGGUUCAUGCAUAUUUCUGUCUACUUCUAGAAUUAUUGUGUUACCUAGAUUCCAAAACCAGUUCAACAUAGAUGGCAUUGUGAAUAUGAAACUGAAUACAGUACUUAUCCUCUCUGUUUUCAUUUUGUUUUGGAAAAUCACAGGUCUCUAG